RNAcentral lists this transfer RNA (94 nucleotides) under Hypomontagnella monticulosa. RNAcentral describes it as "tRNA-Lys". It matches the Rfam family "tRNA". Rfam says of the family: Transfer RNA (tRNA) molecules are approximately 80 nucleotides in length. Their secondary structure includes four short double-helical elements and three loops (D, anti-codon, and T loops). Further hydrogen bonds mediate the characteristic L-shaped molecular structure. tRNAs have two regions of fundamental functional importance: the anti-codon, which is responsible for specific mRNA codon recognition, and the 3' end, to which the tRNAs corresponding amino acid is attached (by aminoacyl-tRNA synthetases). tRNAs cope with the degeneracy of the genetic code in two manners: having more than one tRNA (with a specific anti-codon) for a particular amino acid; and 'wobble' base-pairing, i.e. permitting non-standard base-pairing at the 3rd anti-codon position. Lineage: Eukaryota; Fungi; Ascomycota; Sordariomycetes; Xylariales; Hypoxylaceae. The record is from RNAcentral.
GCCCGCGUAGCUCAAUGGUUAGAGCGUGUGACUUUUAUAUGCAACCGCGUAUGAAGGCAUCCCAAGGCUGUGAGUUCGAGUCUCACCGCGGGCG